RNAcentral lists this ribosomal RNA (464 nucleotides) under Vreelandella stevensii. RNAcentral describes it as "partial 16S ribosomal RNA". It matches the Rfam family "Bacterial small subunit ribosomal RNA", at positions 338 to 795 of the family's 1533-position model. Lineage: Bacteria; Pseudomonadati; Pseudomonadota; Gammaproteobacteria; Oceanospirillales; Halomonadaceae. The record is from RNAcentral.
CCUACGGGGGGCAGCAGUGGGGAAUAUUGGACAAUGGGCGAAAGCCUGAUCCAGCCAUGCCGCGUGUGUGAAGAAGGCCUUCGGGUUGUAAAGCACUUUCAGUGGGGAAGAAAGCCUUGGGGCUAAUACCCUCGAGGAAGGACAUCACCCACAGAAGAAGCACCGGCUAACUCCGUGCCAGCAGCCGCGGUAAUACGGAGGGUGCGAGCGUUAAUCGGAAUUACUGGGCGUAAAGCGCGCGUAGGCGGUCUGAUAAGCCGGUUGUGAAAGCCCCGGGCUCAACCUGGGAACGGCAUCCGGGACUGUCAGGCGAGAGUGCAGGAGAGGAAGGUAGAAGUCCCGGUGUAGCGGUGAAAUGCGUAGAGAUCGGGAGGAAUACCAGUGGCGAAGGCGGCCGUCUGGACUGACACUGACGCUGAGGUGCGAAAGCGUGGGUAGCAAACAGGAUUAGAUACCCGGUAGUC